GAUGAACGCUGGCGGCGUGCCUAAUACAUGCAAGUCGAGCGAACGGACGAGAAGCUUGCUUCUCUGAUGUUAGCGGCGGACGGGUGAGUAACACGUGGAUAACCUACCUAUAAGACUGGGAUAACUUCGGGAAACCGGCGCUAAUCCCGGAUAAUAUUUUGAACCGCAUUGUUCAAAAGUGAAAGACGGUCUUGCUGUCACUUAUAGCUUGAUCCGCGCUGCAUUAGCUAGUUGGUAAGGUAACGGCUUACCAAGGCAACGAUGCAUAGCCGAACUGAGAGAGUGAUCGGCCACACUGGAACUGAGACACGGUCCAGACGCCUAAGGGAGGCAGCAGUAGGGAAUCUGCCGCAAUGGGCGAGAGCAUGACGGAGCAACGCCGCGUGAGUGAUGAAGGUCUUCGGAUCGUAAAACUCUGUUAUUAGGGAAGAACAUAUGUGUAAGUAACUGUGCACAUCUUGACGGUACCUAAACAGAAAGCCACGGCUAACUACGUG
RNAcentral lists this ribosomal RNA (497 nucleotides) under uncultured bacterium. RNAcentral describes it as "partial 16S ribosomal RNA". It matches the Rfam family "Bacterial small subunit ribosomal RNA", at positions 28 to 507 of the family's 1533-position model. The record is from RNAcentral.